GGAUGAUGAAGGCCAUCUUCUCCGCCGUGCAAAGCGUGGCGGCGACGAUCAGAUCGCCCUCGCCUUCACGGUCAUCGUCGUCGGUCACCACAACGAUUUCGCCCGCGGCAAACGCCUUCAAAACUUCAGGGAUAGGAUGGGCCAUAACGCGCUCUUGCUCUCAAAAGGGGUGCAGAUCGUAUGGCGCAGGGCGCGGGCCCGCGCAACUGUCCCGUCCACAUGGCCGUCAUCCACUGGCCUUUGACGGCUUCA
Molecule: unclassified non-coding RNA, 252 nt
Filed under: Hevea brasiliensis (rubber tree)
Lineage: Eukaryota; Viridiplantae; Streptophyta; Magnoliopsida; Malpighiales; Euphorbiaceae
Source: RNAcentral